UCAUUACCGAGUUUUCAACUCCCAAACCCCUGUGAACAUACCAUUUUGUUGCCUCGGCGGUGCCUGUUCCGACAGCCCGCCAGAGGACCCCAAACCCAAACUUCCUUGAGUGAGUCUUCUGAGUAACCGAUUAAAUCAAUCAAAACUUUCAACAACGGAUCUCUUGGUUCUGGCAUCGAUGAAGAACGCAGCGAAAUGCGAUAAGUAAUGUGAAUUGCAGAAUUCAGUGAAUCAUCGAAUCUUUGAACGCACAUUGCGCCCGCCAGUAUUCUGGCGGGCAUGCCUGUUCGAGCGUCAUUACAUCCCUCAAGCCCCCGGGCUUGGUGUUGGGGAUCGGCGAGCCUCAGCGCCCGCCGUCCCCUAAAUUUAGUGGCGGUCACGCUGUAACUUCCUCUGCGUAGUAGCACACUUAGCACUGGGAAACAGCGCGGCCACGCCGUAAAACCCCCCAACUUUUGAACGUUUGACCUCGAAUCAGGUAGGACUACCCGCUGAACUUAAGCAUAUCAAUAAGACGGAG
This 520-nucleotide ribosomal RNA is filed under the name Neonectria sp. ca_besc_803bc. Its description in RNAcentral is "eukaryotic LSU rRNA". The stretch from base 144 to 297 matches the Rfam family "5.8S ribosomal RNA". Lineage: Eukaryota; Fungi; Ascomycota; Sordariomycetes; Hypocreales; Nectriaceae. The record is from RNAcentral.